Long non-coding RNA from Hordeum vulgare subsp. vulgare (domesticated barley), 1393 nucleotides. RefSeq lists it as uncharacterized. NCBI's taxonomy places the organism in Eukaryota, Viridiplantae, Streptophyta, Magnoliopsida, Poales, Poaceae. The record is from RefSeq and is a predicted model, not a curated record. The transcript is spliced from 2 exons.
CUCGCUCCUCACCGUCGGCCUCGCCACAGCUAACGUCGUUCCAUCCUCCGGCGAUCAGCCAGCACAGAGGACGUGACAGGAUGUCACACAAAAUAUCUCCCGUGAAAUACUCCAUAAAAUUUACCAUGUAGAGACCACAAGAUGACGUGCAUGAUUACAAAGUGAUAAAAAAGCUUUAAAAUUAUCAAACAGUCAUGACCGUAACAAGCCUUGGUGAAAAAAAACUCACCCACGCAUGUGAAUCAGCAUGCCCUACAAAAAAUAGUCGAUGUUGCUAUAAAAAAUGAUUUUUUGUAUAGAAGAUAAAUGGUUUGGACUUUGACUUCGCCGCACUCACUCACAACCACUCGUCCACUCACCUCACUCCUGCCCCCACCCGAUCCCCGGCCAGCGACGUAAGCGCUCUCUGGUGGCCGCCCGUCCCCUUCGUCACCACCACCGGCGGUCGCAGGCCCCUGCUCUGCCCCGCCCCUUGUUCGUAUCCACCAACGCCGGGGUCCUCCCUCCUCCUUGCGACGUAGGGUCACUUGAGCUCGGUGCUCGUCGGCGCCAACGGGGCCCUCCUUCCUUCUUGCUACGUGGCGGGGCUCGGGCUCGGCAUGGUCGCCGGCAACGCCAGGUACCUCAUCCUCCCUGCGACACGGGGGCACUCGAGCUCGGCAUGCUUGCUGGCGUCGAUGGGGCCCUGCUUCCUCCUUGCUACACGAUGGCGCUCAAGCUCGGCAUGGUCGCCGGCGACGCCAGGUCCCUCUCUCCUCCCUGCGACACGGGGGCACUCGAGCUUGGCAUGCUCGUCGGCGACGCUAGGGCCUUCCCUCCUUCCUGAGACACGGGGGAGUAGGACCAGCUGCUGCUCACGGUGUUCAUCAUGAUUAGGAUGACCACAAAGACAUGCGUGAUGUGUUGCUGCUCAAGACCCUCCAUAUGCUUAUCCUCCCUCGUCCGAGUCCAGGGUUAGCUGCUCAGGGGGCAUGGUGUGCUCCACGCGGCGCUGCCUUCGCCGCCGUGUGGUUGUGUGUCGUGCAUCACUGCGGCGUUGGGGCUGGGAAGGUCCAAGGCUGGUUGUCCCUGCUCUGGUUGUUAAUGGUUCAGUCAAAAAAGAGAUAGCUUUCUUCGAGGGCUAUGAUUUUAUUUAUAUCAUAGUAGUUGGUGCGUGUGUUGAUGAUGCAACCCUUAAUUGUUCAGAUUUCCCGAAGGAGAAGGAGGAGGUGCUGAAAGGGGAUUGGAUCAAGAAGUCUGAAUCGAAGAGUAUACCCAUCUCUAUGCAGUUUUCCUGUAAUACACUCUUUCCAUGGCCAUGUUGUGAGGUCUUUCCAUUUAUCAGAUUUUAGUUCCAUUUGAAGCGAUGCAUAUUGGAAUACAUUUUGCAGUCCUUCCAGUCGUUCCAUGAAAA